UUACAGUUAGAAUUUGGAGAAUCAAGAGAAAGUAUAUAGGAGUUGUAGAAGUUAAUUAAAGUGCCAAACUGUGAGAGUCGUAAGCCGAGGGCCAGGCUGUGAUAGUUGUGAGUCGAGGGCCAUCGCUAUGACAGUGUGAGCCAGGGUAAUCUUGGUGCUACCUCUUUUCUUUUGUUUGUUAUUUUCUUUGAAUAAGAGGAUUGACAGUUUCUCAA
RNAcentral lists this long non-coding RNA (215 nucleotides) under Physcomitrium patens. RNAcentral's name for it is "long non-coding RNA (PPAT_LNC001027)". The record is from RNAcentral. Lineage: Eukaryota; Viridiplantae; Streptophyta; Bryopsida; Funariales; Funariaceae.